GACGAACGCUGGCGGCGUGCCUAAUACAUGCAAGUAGAACGCUGAAGGAGGAGCUUGCUCUUCUGGAUGAGUUGCGAACGGGUGAGUAACGCGUAGGUAACCUGCCUGGUAGCGGGGGAUAACUAUUGGAAACGAUAGCUAAUACCGCAUAACAGUAGAUGUUGCUUGACAUUUGCUUAAAAGGUGCAAUUGCACCAUUACCAGAUGGACCUGCGUUGUAUUAGCUAGUUGGUGGGGUAACGGCUCACCAAGGCGACGAUACAUAGCCGACCUGAGAGGGUGAUCGGCCACACUGGGACUGAGACACGGCCCAGACUCCUACGGGAGGCAGCAGUAGGGAAUCUUCGGCAAUGGACGGAAGUCUGACCGAGCAACGCCGCGUGAGUGAAGAAGGUUUUCGGAUCGUAAAGCUCUGUUGUAAGAGAAGAACGAGUGUGAGAGUGGAAAGUUCACACUGUGACGGUAUCUUACCAGAAAGGGACGGCUAACUACGUG
Molecule: ribosomal RNA, 495 nt
Filed under: uncultured bacterium
Lineage: Bacteria
Description: partial 16S ribosomal RNA
Rfam family: Bacterial small subunit ribosomal RNA
Source: RNAcentral